This 204-nucleotide unclassified non-coding RNA is filed under the name Hevea brasiliensis (rubber tree). The record is from RNAcentral. Lineage: Eukaryota; Viridiplantae; Streptophyta; Magnoliopsida; Malpighiales; Euphorbiaceae.
GUCACAUCACAUUUUCUUCGCCUGCAACUUUUUAUAUACGUAUACCUCAAAUUUCCAUAACAAGCCGCUAAAAGAAAUUCUAGUAAAAUUGGGUUUUGAAACGAAACAAUCAAGAAAUGUAAUUGGUAGGAGCUAAGGAUUCUUAUAAUAUGAUUUUUCCAGGGAACUGAAUUGAGCUUCACUUGACAGGUAGUGUUGUCUGGG